This 439-nucleotide ribosomal RNA is filed under the name Legionella sp. RNAcentral describes it as "bacterial SSU rRNA". It matches the Rfam family "Bacterial small subunit ribosomal RNA", at positions 394 to 826 of the family's 1533-position model. The record is from RNAcentral. Lineage: Bacteria; Pseudomonadati; Pseudomonadota; Gammaproteobacteria; Legionellales; Legionellaceae.
AAGCCGCGUGUGUGAGAAGGCCUGAGGGUUGUAAAGCACUUUCAGUGGGGAGGAGGAUAGCAUGGUUAAGAGCUGAGCUAUUGGACGUUACCUACAGAAGAAGCACCGGCUAACUCCGUGCCAGCAGCCGCGGUAAUACGGAGGGUGCGAGCGUUAAUCGGAAUUACUGGGCGUAAAGGGUGCGUAGGUGGUUAAAUAAGUUAGAUGUAAAAACCCUGGGCUUAACCUAGGACUGAGAUUUAAUACUGUUUAACUAGAGUAUGGGAGAGGGUAGUGGAAUUUCCGGUGUAGCGGUGAAAUGCGUAGAGAUCGGAAGGAACACCAGUGGCGAAGGCGGCUACCUGGCCUAAUACUGACACUGAGGCACGAAAGCGUGGGGAGCAAACAGGAUUAGAUACCCUGGUAGUCCACGCUGUAAACGAUGUCAACUAGCCGUUGG